This 1483-nucleotide ribosomal RNA is filed under the name metagenome. RNAcentral's name for it is "bacterial LSU rRNA". It matches the Rfam family "Bacterial large subunit ribosomal RNA", at positions 1429 to 2925 of the family's 2925-position model. The record is from RNAcentral.
GUUGAUAUUCCUGUACCGCCAAUAAGCGUUUGAGAGAUGGAGUGGCACAGUAGGAUAAGCUAACCGUACUGUUGGUUAUGUACGGCUAAGCAUUGAGGCAGUCUAAAUAGGCAAAUCCGUUUAGACAAUGCUAGGAUGUGAUGGGGAAGCCCUUCGGGGCGAAGUAGCUGAUUUCACACUGUCAAGAAAAGCUUCUAUCGAGUUUAAAGGCGCCCGUACCGUAAACCGACACAGGUGGGUGAGGAGAGUAUCCUAAGGCCAGCGAGAGAACUAUUGUUAAGGAACUCGGCAAAAUGACCCCGUAACUUAGGGAGAAGGGGUGCCUGUCUAUGACAGGCCGCAGAGAAUAGGCCCAAGCGACUGUUUACCAAAAACACAGGUUUCUGCUAAGUCGCAAGACGAUGUAUAGGAGCUGACGCCUGCCCGGUGCUGGAAGGUUAAGGGGAUCUGUUAGAGCAAUCGAAGCAGUGAACUUAAGCCCCAGUAAACGGCGGCCGUAACAAUAACGGUCCUAAGGUAGCGAAAUUCCUUGUCGGGUAAGUUCCGACCCGCACGAAAGGCGUAACGAUUUGGGCACUGUCUCAACAAUAGACUCGGUGAAAUUGUAAUCCCGGUGAAGAUGCCGGGUACCUGCGACAGGACGGAAAGACCCCAUGGAGCUUUACUGUAGCUUGACGUUGGGUCUUGGUACUACAUGUACAGGAUAGGUGGGAGACUAUGAAGCAUGGACGCCAGUCUGUGUGGAGUCAUCCUUGGGAUACCACCCUUGUAGUACUGGGAUCCUAACCAUAGGCCUUGAAUCAGGUCUUGGAACACCGUCAGGUGGGCAGUUUGACUGGGGCGGUCGCCUCCUAAAAAGUAACGGAGGCGCUCAAAGGUUUCCUCAGCACGGUCGGAAAUCGUGCGAAGAGUGUAAAGGCAAAAGGAAGCUUGAUUGCAAAACAUACAGGUCGAGCAAGGACGAAAGUCGGACUUAGUGAUCCGGUGGUACCGCAUGGAAGGGCCAUCGCUCAACGGAUAAAAGCUACCCUGGGGAUAACAGGCUUAUCUCCCCCAAGAGUCCACAUCGACGGGGAGGUUUGGCACCUCGAUGUCGGCUCAUCACAUCCUGGGGCUGUAGUAGGUCCCAAGGGUUGGGCUGUUCGCCCAUUAAAGUGGUACGCGAGCUGGGUUCAGAACGUCGUGAGACAGUUCGGUCCCUAUCCGUCGCAGGCGUAGGAAAUUUGAGAAGACCUGUCCUUAGUACGAGAGGACCGGGAUGGACGUACCUCUGGUGUACCAGUUGUUCUGCCAAGGGCAUGGCUGGGUAGCUAUGUACGGAAUGGAUAAGCGCUGAAAGCAUCUAAGCGCGAAGCCAACUUCAAGAUAAGAUUUCCCACCGUAAGGGUAAGACCCCAGGAAGACUACCUGGUUGAUAGGUCGAAGGUGUAAGUGCAGUAAUGUAUUUAGCUUAUCGAUACUAAUAGGUCGAGGACUUGAUCAG